GAGAAAACAAACAGAAAACAAAAAUGUAUUCCAUCAUUAUUGGUGUUCAUCUUUCUCUGGAAAGACGUUUUCUUAUGGACUAAACUGGGAAAUCAUCCCUUUCAGAUUUUUCAUUUAUGAGAAACAAUCCCUUGAGGGACAAAAGUAAUCUGACUGUGAUUUGGAGAUUCUGGUGGAAAGCUUUAAUAGUGAUAAUAAUAGCAUCAAGUAUUCAAGAUUCAUUUGUUUGUCUUCCGUUGGGUUCUUGACAUCUUGGGUCUGACAUUCCUGUCAGAUGAUUAAGAAAAUAAGAGAACUGAAAACUAAUUUUUAAACAGGUAUAAUAGAAGCUGAACUUCUGCAAAAGUCAGAAUGCAAUAAGACAAUUGGAAGUACUGCAUCUGGAAGAGUGCAUAUUAUAACACAUGUAGAAGGAAAAAAAAUUAACUGUGGCCUCCUACAAAGUACACACAUACAACCCUUCAAAACAAACAAAAAAUUUAAAAAGCUUCAUAAGAAGAACAUAUGUAAAUGC
Molecule: long non-coding RNA, 514 nt
Filed under: Gallus gallus (chicken)
Lineage: Eukaryota; Metazoa; Chordata; Aves; Galliformes; Phasianidae
Source: RNAcentral